RNAcentral lists this ribosomal RNA (396 nucleotides) under Pyrogaster sp. CO1062. RNAcentral describes it as "partial 16S ribosomal RNA". The record is from RNAcentral. Lineage: Eukaryota; Metazoa; Arthropoda; Insecta; Coleoptera; Lampyridae.
GUCCUUUUGAAUUUAAUUUAAGGUCUAAUCUGCUCAGUGAAAAUUUAAAUAGCCGCAGUAUUCUAACUGUGCAAAGGUAGCAUAAUAAUUAGUUUUUUAAUUGAAAGCUGGAAUGAAUGAUUGAACGAGAAAAUAACUGUCUCUUUAUAAUUUUUAUUGAAUUUUACUUUUAAGUGAAAAGGCUUAAAUGUUUUUAAAAGACGAGAAGACCCUAUAGAGUUUUAUUUGUAUGGGGUAUAUUGGUAUUGAAUUUUUCUAAUACAAAUUUGGUUGGGGUGACUGAAAGAUUAAAUUAACUCUUUUAAUUUUUAUCAUUGAUUAAUGAAUAUAAAAUCUUUAUUUUUAAAUUUAAACUAAAUUACCUUAGGGAUAACAGCGUAAUUUUUCUUUAGAGUU